Long non-coding RNA from Mauremys reevesii (Reeves's turtle), 615 nucleotides. RefSeq lists it as uncharacterized. The record is from RefSeq and is a predicted model, not a curated record. The transcript is spliced from 5 exons. Lineage: Eukaryota; Metazoa; Chordata; Testudines; Geoemydidae.
GGAAUAUAUGAAGAGUUUGGGGUCUUCUGUCAUUGAAAUAAUCAAAGCCAAGAAUAAGCGUGAACUGUUGGAGCAAAAAAUGGACGACCUACUGAGUCAUCAGAGACAAUUUGUCGAAAAUAAUCGUCGGUCCUUAGAACAGAAAAGAAAAGGAAAGGAAAAGUCUUCUACAUUUCUAAGAAGUGUUUCAUCAGCUACAUGACUUACUGACAGGGGAUCUGCCGUGCGACCAGAUAAACCAGGACUUGCAGCAAGCCAACGAUGCUCUACGAGCAGAACUCAACAAAGAAAUGGAGGAAAAAAACCUUCUUCGCUGCCAGUCUGAUCAAAAAUCUCAAGAAAUCCAUCAGCUGCAAGAAGAACUGAAAACAGCUAAACAGUUUCUGAAGGAGACCCAGAAUUAUGCGGAAGAGAUGAAAAAGAAGAGUUUGUCUCAGGAAAUACAAUUAGAAAAGAAAGAAGCUGAGAUUCGGGAUUUAGAGGGGAAAAAUCAAGAUUUGACUGAGGAACUUGAGAAAGUGCAGUCAGAGUUGCAACUUAAACAAGCUGAGAUCGCUCAUCUCCAAAAUCUAUCUGCAGCCGAGUUGGCUUGUUUAAAAAAGGAAAUAGUAAACA